UACGUAGGGUGCGAGCGUUAAUCGGAAUUACUAGGCGUAAAGCGUGCGCAGGCGGUUCGUUGUGUCCGAUGUGAAAGCCCCGAGCUCAACUUGGGAAUGGCAUUGGAAACUGGCGGGCUGGAGUGUGGCAGAGGGGGGUGGAAUUCCACGUGUAGCAGUGAAAUGCGUAGAGAUGUGGAGGAACACCGAUGGCGAAGGCAGCCCCCUGGGCCAACACUGACGCUCAGGCACGAAAGCGUGGGGAGCAAACAGG
This 253-nucleotide ribosomal RNA is filed under the name uncultured bacterium. Its description in RNAcentral is "partial 16S ribosomal RNA". It matches the Rfam family "Bacterial small subunit ribosomal RNA", at positions 524 to 776 of the family's 1533-position model. The record is from RNAcentral.